UACGUAGGGGGCAAGCGUUGUCCGGAAUCAUUGGGCGUAAAGAGCGUGUAGGCGGUCCGGUAAGUCGGCUGUGAAAGUCCAGGGCUCAACCCUGGGAUGCCGGUCGAUACUGCCGGACUAGAGUACGGAAGAGGCGAGUGGAAUUCCCGGUGUAGCGGUGAAAUGCGCAGAUAUCGGGAGGAACACCUAUGGCGAAGGCAGCUCGCUGGGACGUUACUGACGCUGAGACGCGAAAGCGUGGGGAGCAAACAGG
This 253-nucleotide ribosomal RNA is filed under the name uncultured bacterium. Its description in RNAcentral is "partial 16S ribosomal RNA". It matches the Rfam family "Bacterial small subunit ribosomal RNA", at positions 524 to 776 of the family's 1533-position model. The record is from RNAcentral.